CUCAACGUAUGUGUAAUCUAUGGCACCCAGUACAUUGGGCAUGGCCGCAAGAUCAGAUAAAGCUACCCUGACUGCAUGCCACUGCGACUCCUGGGAAGGGAAGCUGAGAGAGGCAUCUAUGUGGCCAUCCAAGACAUCCAAAACCUGAGUGGACAUUCCUAAAUUAAAGGUUCAUCACCAUAAAGAUUGCUGUAUUUCAUACUCAGCUGUCCAAUGCAGUUGUAACCUAAACAAGACUCCAGUCCAUUGACAAACCAAUAACUUACAGUAGGUCGCUCCAGACAGGUUGCAGAUUUGUUCCUCGCAGGUACCAGAUAAAUGAGCAAACCUAUACAGCAAAAAAAAAAAAAGGAAGUACAAUGGCAUUACAUCAGUUCUA
Molecule: long non-coding RNA, 379 nt
Organism: Pseudophryne corroboree (corroboree frog)
Lineage: Eukaryota; Metazoa; Chordata; Amphibia; Anura; Myobatrachidae
Exons: 3
Source: RefSeq, a predicted model, not a curated record